UACGGAGGGUGCAAGCGUUGUCCGGAAUCACUGGGCGUAAAGGGCGCGUAGGCGGCUCAUGAAGGCUGUGGUGAAAGUCCGGGGCUCAACCUCGGAUCGGCCGUGGCGACUCGUGGGCUGGAGCACUGUAGAGGCGGGUGGAAUUCCGGGUGUAGCGGUGGAAUACGUAGAGAUCCGGAAGAACACCAGUGGCGAAGGCGGCCCGCUGGGCAGUGGCUGACGCUGAGACGCGAAAGCGUGGGGAGCGAACAGG
RNAcentral lists this ribosomal RNA (253 nucleotides) under uncultured bacterium. Its description in RNAcentral is "partial 16S ribosomal RNA". It matches the Rfam family "Bacterial small subunit ribosomal RNA", at positions 524 to 776 of the family's 1533-position model. The record is from RNAcentral.